GAUUGAACGCUGGCGGCAGGCCUAACACAUGCAAGUCGAACGGUAGCACAGAGAGCUUGCUCUCGGGUGACGAGUGGCGGACGGGUGAGUAAUGUCUGGGAAACUGCCUGAUGGAGGGGGAUAACUACUGGAAACGGUAGCUAAUACCGCAUAACGUCGCAAGACCAAAGAGGGGGACCUUCGGGCCUCUUGCCAUCAGAUGUGCCCAGAUGGGAUUAGCUAGUAGGUGGGGUAACGGCUCACCUAGGCGACGAUCCCUAGCUGGUCUGAGAGGAUGACCAGCCACACUGGAACUGAGACACGGUCCAGACUCCUACGGGAGGCAGCAGUGGGGAAUAUUGCACAAUGGGCGCAAGCCUGAUGCAGCCAUGCCGCGUGUAUGAAGAAGGCCUUCGGGUUGUAAAG
Molecule: ribosomal RNA, 405 nt
Filed under: Klebsiella michiganensis
Lineage: Bacteria; Pseudomonadati; Pseudomonadota; Gammaproteobacteria; Enterobacterales; Enterobacteriaceae
Description: bacterial SSU rRNA
Rfam family: Bacterial small subunit ribosomal RNA
Source: RNAcentral